CCUACGGGUGGCAGCAGUGAGGAAUAUUGGUCAAUGGGCGCGAGCCUGAACCAGCCAAGUAGCGUGAAGGAUGACUGCCCUACGGGUUGUAAACUUCUUUUAUAAAGGAAUAAAGUGAGGCACGUGUGCCUUUUUGUAUGUACUUUAUGAAUAAGGAUCGGCUAACUCCGUGCCAGCAGCCGCGGUAAUUCGGAGGAUCCGAGCGUUAUCCGGAUUUAUUGGGUGUAAAGGGAGCGUAGAUGGGUUGUUAAGUCAGUUGUGAAAGUUUGCGGCUCAACCGUAAAAUUGCAAUUGAUACUGGCAGCCUUGAGUGCAGUAGAGGUAAGCGGAAUUCGUGGUGGAGCGGUGAAAUGCUUAGAUAUCACGAAGAACUCCGAUUGCGAAGGCAGCUUACUAAACUGCCACUGACAUUGAUGCUCGAAAGUGUGGGUAUCAAACAGGAUUAGAUACCCCUGUAGUC
RNAcentral lists this ribosomal RNA (460 nucleotides) under uncultured bacterium. RNAcentral describes it as "partial 16S ribosomal RNA". It matches the Rfam family "Bacterial small subunit ribosomal RNA", at positions 338 to 795 of the family's 1533-position model. The record is from RNAcentral.